Molecule: ribosomal RNA, 465 nt
Filed under: Vreelandella stevensii
Lineage: Bacteria; Pseudomonadati; Pseudomonadota; Gammaproteobacteria; Oceanospirillales; Halomonadaceae
Description: partial 16S ribosomal RNA
Rfam family: Bacterial small subunit ribosomal RNA
Source: RNAcentral
CCUACGGGGUGCAGCAGUGGGGAAUAUUGGACAAUGGGCGAAAGCCUGAUCCAGCCAUGCCGCGUGUGUGAAGAAGGCCUUCGGGUUGUAAAGCACUUUCAUUGGGGAAGAAAGCCUUGGGGCUAAUACCCUCGAGGAAGGACAUCACCCACAGAAGAAGCACCGGCUAACUCCGUGCCAGCAGCCGCGGUAAUACGGAGGGUGCGAGCGUUAAUCGGAAUUACUGGGCGUAAAGCGCGCGUAGGCGGUCUGAUAAGCCGGUUGUGAAAGCCCCGGGCUCAACCUGGGAACGGCAUCCGGAACUGUCAGGCUAGAGUGCAGGAGAGGAAGGUAGAAUUCCCGGUGUAGCGGUGAAAUGCGUAGAGAUCGGGAGGAAUACCAGUGGCGAAGGCGGCCUUCUGGACUGACACUGACGCUGAGGUGCGAAAGCGUGGGUAGCAAACAGGAUUAGAUACCCUGGUAGUC